Molecule: non-coding RNA, 23 nt
Filed under: Arabidopsis thaliana (thale cress)
Lineage: Eukaryota; Viridiplantae; Streptophyta; Magnoliopsida; Brassicales; Brassicaceae
Source: RNAcentral
AAACUUUCUCGACCUUUCACGCG